CAGUCGAACGGGAAAUAUUUCAUUGAGACUUCGGUGGAUUUGAUCUAUUUCUACUGGUGGACGGGUGAGUAACGCGUGGGUAACCUGCCUUAUACAGGGGGAUAACAGUCAGAAAUGGCUGCUAAUACCGCAUAAGCGCACAGAGCUGCAUGGCUCAGUGUGAAAAACUCCGGUGGUAUAAGAUGGACCCGCGUUGGAUUAGCUUGUUGGUGGGGUAACGGCCCACCAAGGCGACGAUCCAUAGCCGGCCUGAGAGGGUGGACGGCCACAUUGGGACUGAGACACGGCCCAGACUCCUACGGGAGGCAGCAGUGGGGAAUAUUGCACAAUGGGGGAAGCCCUGAUGCAGCGACGCCGCGUGAAGGAAGAAGUAUCUCGGUAUGUAAACUUCUAUCAGCAGGGAAGAUAGUGACGGUACCUGACUAAGAAGCCCCGGCUAACUACGUGCCAGCAGCCGCGGUAAUACGUAGGGGGCAAGCGUUAUCCGGAUUUACUGGGUGUAAAGGGAGCGUAGACGGUGUGGCAAGUCUGAUGUGAAAGGCAUGGGCUCAACCUGUGGACUGCAUUGGAAACUGUCAUACUUGAGUGCCGGAGGGGUAAGCGGAAUUCCUAGUGUAGCGGUGAAAUGCGUAGAUAUUAGGAGGAACACCAGUGGCGAAGGCGGCUUACUGGACGGUAACUGACGUUGAGGCUCGAAAGCGUGGGGAGCAAACAGGA
This 717-nucleotide ribosomal RNA is filed under the name uncultured bacterium. RNAcentral describes it as "bacterial SSU rRNA". It matches the Rfam family "Bacterial small subunit ribosomal RNA", at positions 59 to 777 of the family's 1533-position model. The record is from RNAcentral.